This 492-nucleotide ribosomal RNA is filed under the name uncultured bacterium. Its description in RNAcentral is "partial 16S ribosomal RNA". It matches the Rfam family "Bacterial small subunit ribosomal RNA", at positions 29 to 507 of the family's 1533-position model. The record is from RNAcentral.
AGUGAACGCUGGCGGUAGGCCUAACACAUGCAAGUCGAACGGCAGCACAGUAAGAGCUUGUGCUUACGGGUGGCGAGUGGCGGACGGGUGAGGAAUACAUCGGAAUCUACUUUUUCGUGGGGGAUAACGUAGGGAAACUUACGCUAAUACCGCAUACGACCUACGGGUGAAAGCAGGGGAUCUUCGGACCUUGCGCGAUUGAAUGAGCCGAUGUCGGAUUAGCUAGUUGGUGGGGUAAAGGCCCACCAAGGCGACGAUCCGUAGCUGGUCUGAGAGGAUGAUCAGCCACACUGGAACUGAGACACGGUCCAGACUCCUACGGGAGGCGGCAGUGGGGAAUAUUGGACAAUGGGCGAAAGCCUGAUCCAGCCAUACCGCGUGGGUGAAGAAGGCCUUCGGGUUGUAAAGCACUUUUGUUGGGAAAGAAAAGCAGCAGGUUAAUACCCCGCUGUUCUGACGGUACCCAAAGAAUAAGCACCGGCUAACUUCGUG